ACUUCAGGCAAGGAAGGAGCAGAUAAACUUAAAACAGUGAAACAGAAAAUAUAGGCUGAGCAGACAAAGCGGGAUUUAAAACAAAAUAUUUUUAUAACUUGCCUAUAACAAGACAUCUAGUCUUUCAGUAACAUGGAAUUCUACAUAAUUUCUAAAAGAAACAUGGCAUAAUGCAACUACCAUGUGUCAUCUCCAUAAGAUACCACCUUGGAACAUCCAGAAUACCAGAGGCGUACGCCCAACUUGAAAAGAAAGCAGAGAGAGGAAAAAAGGAACGCCCCUUUCUUUUGAGGGGUCAAGAAUCUUAUAAAUAUGUUCAAGAAAACCCAGAUUAACAUCAGUCCCAGUGGCACCCCACCAAACAUCUGUCCCCUACAUGGAUAUAUGGCUGCUGUCCAUUACACUUGGGAGCCAAUCAGCAACUACACACUUCUGUGAUGGAGGUAUGCCUCUGGAGAAGUGGUUAAGGAAUUGCUCUGGGCCCAAGCCUCUCCAUACCACCACCCCUGCAAAGGCUGACAGGAGCGAGAACUUAUUAAGGGAAGCAGAGUAGCUCAGUGGUGGGCAGACAGGGGAGUAGCUGACCUGUGCGCUGAACUCUGGGAAAGAGCAACACAGGAACUCUUGCUGCCCGACACGUUGCGAUGCUGACCUGACCAAGCCUGCAAAGGAGGGACUGGUGACUUUUGAAGGUCACUCAAAGUCAUGUUUAAGAAGCAGGAGAUGCAUACCAGAAGUUCUAAGGCCUAUGAAGAUGUAAGGAUAACAAAAUAACUGCGUUUUCAUGUAACAAAUAAAAUUGGCUACUAGUGCCGGAUGGGCAAGCAGCGAGAGAUUUCAAAAAUUUCACAUUCCAAAUCAUAAG
Long non-coding RNA from Mauremys reevesii (Reeves's turtle), 865 nucleotides. RefSeq lists it as uncharacterized. The record is from RefSeq and is a predicted model, not a curated record. The transcript is spliced from 4 exons. NCBI's taxonomy places the organism in Eukaryota, Metazoa, Chordata, Testudines, Geoemydidae.